ACCUAGUUGAUGAGUCCAAAAAAGGACGAAACAUGUGUCCUUGAU
Molecule: non-coding RNA, 45 nt
Organism: Schistosoma curassoni
Lineage: Eukaryota; Metazoa; Platyhelminthes; Trematoda; Strigeidida; Schistosomatidae
Source: Rfam